Long non-coding RNA from Bubalus bubalis (water buffalo), 840 nucleotides. RefSeq lists it as uncharacterized. The record is from RefSeq and is a predicted model, not a curated record. NCBI's taxonomy places the organism in Eukaryota, Metazoa, Chordata, Mammalia, Artiodactyla, Bovidae. The transcript is spliced from 3 exons.
CAUCAUCAGAAUCAUAUGUGGAACUUUUUAAUCACAGAGAUCCCUGGGCCUGCCACGGAGAUUCCAAGUCCAUGGGUCCUAGUGAGCUCUGAAAUCCACAUGUUUAAAAAGCUUCCCAGAAAAUUUCAGUGAUCAAUCAGCAUCUCGCAUGUCACUCCCAUGGCAAACAGAAGGGGGCGCCUUAGUUCCUAGUUGACCGGCCUGUGAGACGUUACUACAUUUUCCUCACAGCCCAAUUCUCCCUUCCUUGGGCACAUCAGAGGCUUUUAAAGCAACCUUGAAAGCAAAGCUCCACGGAGACCUCUCGCUUUUGCCACUUGCAUCAAGAGCAAGGUUGCAUUAUUUUUAAAUGCUAUAGUGUCUGGGUCUCCCUCCAAACGUUGCUGAAUUCACAAAAUAAAUGAUAGCAUAUUACCAGCAAUUCUACGGGGCUUUAAAAAUUUCCCUUGCUUUUAUUGAACUCAUUCUCUAAAAAGUGAUUUGGAGGGUUUGUGCUAUCUUCUUUGUAUUUUAUAUGGUAAGGUGUUCUUUGUUUGGGGUUAUGUUUGGGGUUUUUUAAAAUCCAGAUUCAUAUUGUUCCUUAUGCACAAUGACAUGAGAAGCUACAAGAAGCUGUUCUCAAGGAAAAUGUAGUUCUGAAUUACCUUGUAAUCUGCUGGGAGCUGCAGGAUGCUCGGACCUACCAUGAAGCCCCCUGGCCUGCCCCACACUUGAGGGUGGUGGACUAAAUGUGUAUGCCAUGUGGACUAAGAGCAGGUUUUUUCCCCAAAGUUCUCCAGAAAUUUGAGAUGAACUUGCUUCCUAAUGUUUCCCAGGAAUAUAAUUAAAUAUAAUAGAACA